UGGCGGCGUGGUUAAGACAUGCAAGUCGAACGGGAGAAUUGCUAGCUUGCUAAUAAUUCUCUAGUGGCGCACGGGUGAGUACCGCGUGAGUAACCUGCCCCCGAGAGCGGGAUAGCCCUGGGAAACUGGGAUUAAUACCGCAUAGUAUCGAAAGAUUAAAGCAGCAAUGCGCUUGGGGAUGGGCUCGCGGCCUAUUAGUUAGUUGGUGAGGUAACGGCUCACCAAGGCGAUGACGGGUAGCCGGUCUGAGAGGAUGUCCGGCCCCACUGGAACUGAGACCCGGUCCAGCCCCCUACGGGUGGCAGCAGUCGAGAAUCAUUCCCAAUGGGGGAAACCCUGAUGGUGUGACGCCGCGUGGGGGAAUGAAGGUCUUCGGAUUGUAAACCCCUGUCAUGUGGGAGCAAAUUAAAAAGAUAGUACCACAAGAGGAAGAGCCGGCUAACUCUGUGCCACCAGCCGCGGUAAUCCAGAGGUCUCAAGCGUUGUUCGGAAUCACUGGGCGUAAAGCGUGCGUAGGCUGUUUCGUAAGUCGUGUGUGAAAGGCGCGGGCUCAACCCGCGGACGGCCCAUGAUACUGCGAGACUAGAGUAAUGGAGGGGGAACCGGAAUUCCCGGUGUAGCAAA
This 624-nucleotide ribosomal RNA is filed under the name Akkermansia muciniphila. RNAcentral describes it as "bacterial SSU rRNA". It matches the Rfam family "Bacterial small subunit ribosomal RNA", at positions 37 to 682 of the family's 1533-position model. The record is from RNAcentral. Lineage: Bacteria; Pseudomonadati; Verrucomicrobiota; Verrucomicrobiia; Verrucomicrobiales; Akkermansiaceae.